Non-coding RNA from Phrynosoma platyrhinos (Desert horned lizard), 74 nucleotides. NCBI's taxonomy places the organism in Eukaryota, Metazoa, Chordata, Lepidosauria, Squamata, Phrynosomatidae. The record is from the annotation of a GenBank genome assembly.
GCCAGAAUGGUAUAGUGUGGUUUGAGCAUUGGACUACAGCUCUGGAGAUCAGGGUUCAAUUCCCUGCUUGGCCA